Molecule: ribosomal RNA, 2036 nt
Filed under: Escherichia coli
Lineage: Bacteria; Pseudomonadati; Pseudomonadota; Gammaproteobacteria; Enterobacterales; Enterobacteriaceae
Also listed under: 2 other names
Description: partial 23S ribosomal RNA
Rfam family: Bacterial large subunit ribosomal RNA
Source: RNAcentral
UGUUUCGGCAAGGGGGUCAUCCCGACUUACCAACCCGAUGCAAACUGCGAAUACCGGAGAAUGUUAUCACGGGAGACACACGGCGGGUGCUAACGUCCGUCGUGAAGAGGGAAACAACCCAGACCGCCAGCUAAGGUCCCAAAGUCAUGGUUAAGUGGGAAACGAUGUGGGAAGGCCCAGACAGCCAGGAUGUUGGCUUAGAAGCAGCCAUCAUUUAAAGAAAGCGUAAUAGCUCACUGGUCGAGUCGGCCUGCGCGGAAGAUGUAACGGGGCUAAACCAUGCACCGAAGCUGCGGCAGCGACACUAUGUGUUGUUGGGUAGGGGAGCGUUCUGUAAGCCUGUGAAGGUGUACUGUGAGGUAUGCUGGAGGUAUCAGAAGUGCGAAUGCUGACAUAAGUAACGAUAAAGCGGGUGAAAAGCCCGCUCGCCGGAAGACCAAGGGUUCCUGUCCAACGUUAAUCGGGGCAGGGUGAGUCGACCCCUAAGGCGAGGCCGAAAGGCGUAGUCGAUGGGAAACAGGUUAAUAUUCCUGUACUUGGUGUUACUGCGAAGGGGGGACGGAGAAGGCUAUGUUGGCCGGGCGACGGUUGUCCCGGUUUAAGCGUGUAGGCUGGUUUUCCAGGCAAAUCCGGAAAAUCAAGGCUGAGGCGUGAUGACGAGGCACUACGGUGCUGAAGCAACAAAUGCCCUGCUUCCAGGAAAAGCCUCUAAGCAUCAGGUAACAUCAAAUCGUACCCCAAACCGACACAGGUGGUCAGGUAGAGAAUACCAAGGCGCUUGAGAGAACUCGGGUGAAGGAACUAGGCAAAAUGGUGCCGUAACUUCGGGAGAAGGCACGCUGAUAUGUAGGUGAAGUCCCUCGCGGAUGGAGCUGAAAUCAGUCGAAGAUACCAGCUGGCUGCAACUGUUUAUUAAAAACACAGCACUGUGCAAACACGAAAGUGGACGUAUACGGUGUGACGCCUGCCCGGUGCCGGAAGGUUAAUUGAUGGGGUCAGCGCAAGCGAAGCUCUUGAUCGAAGCCCCGGUAAACGGCGGCCGUAACUAUAACGGUCCUAAGGUAGCGAAAUUCCUUGUCGGGUAAGUUCCGACCUGCACGAAUGGCGUAAUGAUGGCCAGGCUGUCUCCACCCGAGACUCAGUGAAAUUGAACUCGCUGUGAAGAUGCAGUGUACCCGCGGCAAGACGGAAAGACCCCGUGAACCUUUACUAUAGCUUGACACUGAACAUUGAGCCUUGAUGUGUAGGAUAGGUGGGAGGCUUGGAAGUGUGGACGCCAGUCUGCAUGGAGCCGACCUUGAAAUACCACCCUUUAAUGUUUGAUGUUCUAACGUUGACCCGUAAUCCGGGUUGCGGACAGUGUCUGGUGGGUAGUUUGACUGGGGCGGUCUCCUCCUAAAGAGUAACGGAGGAGCACGAAGGUUGGCUAAUCCUGGUCGGACAUCAGGAGGUUAGUGCAAUGGCAUAAGCCAGCUUGACUGCGAGCGUGACGGCGCGAGCAGGUGCGAAAGCAGGUCAUAGUGAUCCGGUGGUUCUGAAUGGAAGGGCCAUCGCUCAACGGAUAAAAGGUACUCCGGGGAUAACAGGCUGAUACCGCCCAAGAGUUCAUAUCGACGGCGGUGUUUGGCACCUCGAUGUCGGCUCAUCACAUCCUGGGGCUGAAGUAGGUCCCAAGGGUAUGGCUGUUCGCCAUUUAAAGUGGUACGCGAGCUGGGUUUAGAACGUCGUGAGACAGUUCGGUCCCUAUCUGCCGUGGGCGCUGGAGAACUGAGGGGGGCUGCUCCUAGUACGAGAGGACCGGAGUGGACGCAUCACUGGUGUUCGGGUUGUCAUGCCAAUGGCACUGCCCGGUAGCUAAAUGCGGAAGAGAUAAGUGCUGAAAGCAUCUAAGCACGAAACUUGCCCCGAGAUGAGUUCUCCCUGACUCCUUGAGAGUCCUGAAGGAACGUUGAAGACGACGACGUUGAUAGGCCGGGUGUGUAAGCGCAGCGAUGCGUUGAGCUAACCGGUACUAAUGAACCGUGAGGCUUAACCUU